RNAcentral lists this ribosomal RNA (579 nucleotides) under uncultured bacterium. RNAcentral's name for it is "bacterial SSU rRNA". It matches the Rfam family "Bacterial small subunit ribosomal RNA", at positions 331 to 930 of the family's 1533-position model. The record is from RNAcentral.
CCAGACUCCUACGGGAGGCAGCAGUCGGGAAUAUUGCACAAUGGAGGAAACUCUGAUGCAGUGACACCGCGUAUAGGAAGAAGGUCUUAGGAUUGUAAGCUAUUGUCGUGUGAGAAGAAAAUGACCAUCACAGGAGGAAGCCCUGGCUAAAUAUGUGCCAGCAGCCGCGGUAAUACAUAUGGGGCGAGCGUUAUCCGGAUUUAUUGGGUGUAAAGGGUGCGUAGGCGGGAAAAUAAGUCAGUAUGUGAAAUCCCUCGGCUCAACUGAGGAACUGCAACUGAAACUAUUUUUCUUGAGUGUUGAAGGGGAAAGUGGAAUUCCUAGUGUAGCGGUGAAAUGCGUAGAGAUUAGGAGGAACACCAGUGGCGAAGGCGACUUUCUGGGCAACAACUGACGCUGAGGCACGAAAGUGUGGGGAGCAAACAGGAUUAGAUACCCUGGUAGUCCACACCGUAAACGAUGGAUACUAGGAGUUGGCAAAAAUAUUGUCGGUUCCGCAGUUAACGCAUUAAGUAUCCCACCUGGGGAGUACGACCGCAAGGUUAAAACUCAAAGGAAUUGACGGGGGCCCGCACAAGA